This 215-nucleotide unclassified non-coding RNA is filed under the name Hevea brasiliensis (rubber tree). The record is from RNAcentral. Lineage: Eukaryota; Viridiplantae; Streptophyta; Magnoliopsida; Malpighiales; Euphorbiaceae.
GGACAUAGCGAUCCCUAUCCUUAAACACCAAAACCGAAGUUUUGUAGAUUUUGAUAGCGAAUUCUUGACCAUCAGUUUUCGUUGCAUGAUAGACAUUAGCUUCUUUUCCAGUAGAAAUGCAGCCAUUAAUGUCAUGAAAAACACCUCGGUUGAGCAUCUUGAAUAAAACCAUUCGAGUUCUAGGAUCAAUUGCCUGUUCAACAGUUGCGCGGUCG